CCUUUGUACACACCGCCCGUCGCUACUACCGAUUGAAUGGCUUAGUGAGGUCUUCGGAUUGGCUCAGAGAGGUCGGCAACGACCACUCAGAGCCGGAAACUUGGUCAAACUUGGUCAUUUAGAGG
RNAcentral lists this ribosomal RNA (125 nucleotides) under Chaetothyriales sp. RNAcentral describes it as "partial small subunit ribosomal RNA". It matches the Rfam family "Eukaryotic small subunit ribosomal RNA", at positions 1657 to 1779 of the family's 1831-position model. Lineage: Eukaryota; Fungi; Ascomycota; Eurotiomycetes; Chaetothyriales. The record is from RNAcentral.